CCCUCUUUAUACCCUAAAUCCCUCACAUUAAAGAGGGGGAGAUCAAAAAAAUCCAUUAGAUCAUUAGACCCCUAAGACCCUUGGAAAAUACAGAGCAACGACGCUCCAUAUCUGCUCUCUUUUGAAAUGAAAAAUCCAUCCCAAUUUGCUCUCAGGUCCCUCACAUAAUCCUUUCUCCCUCUCCUUCCUCUCUGAUUUCACUAACAUAUACAUGCAAAAAGCCUUAGCAGCAACUGGAAUUUGAGAUUCCAAAUUUGGCGAAAACUCUCGAAAAACAUAAUCGAAAACCAAAAGAAAAAGAUUUGAAAAGCUAGUCUGAAUUCUGUUGUUUUUUUCAAUAAUUCAUAGUUGCUUGAGCUGAAUUUGGACUUAAAUUGAAGUUGUGCAUGUGUUUGAGUGGAAAACAAAGUUCUAAAAAGAAACAAAAGAAAAAGGGGAAAGUGAAAUUUCAAGGGGAAAAUCUGAAAUCAACUCGAUGGCUAGCGAGUUUUGAGAACCAAACGCUUCCUGGGUUUCUAAAAAUUGCUGAGUUCGAAAAUCUGCUGUUGUUGUAUUCAUGUAGCAGCUGAGCUCCACUCUGUCUCCUUCUUAGCCUUAUUUGGCCUCACAAGUUUGUUUUAAAUACUAGGUAUGUACACUUCCAGUUUCUUUGAUUGUUUCUAGGUCGAAUGAAUGAAAUAUUGAUUUGUUUUGGCUCCAAUUUUUUCUGUUGUUUGGUUGAAUCUGUUGCCUUACUUUGGAUAAGCAUAUUGAAUGAUGAAUCUAUGUUUAUUAGUUUGAGUAAGAAGAAGUUUAAUUUUGAUGAAGGGUCAUGACGACGGGUAAUAAAAACGUGAAAUCAGUGUAUAUAAACUCAGCUAUAUAAAUUUGAUUAGAGAACGAUUACAUCUAAAGCAAGUAGAGUAAUAAUUUGGCAUAUUGAGUUGGAUUCCAAGGAUCGGCUUCGUGCCUGAUGUUUGAAUUUGAUUGUCUAAGAUAUUUGAUUUUCUACUGAUUAGGUUCUUAAAAUCAAAAGCUGUCAUUUUUGUCAUUGUCUUUGUUAUCUUACCCCAAAAAUCUAGCCAUGACAAGAGCCAACAACCAUCCUCUAUCUGUGAGCAAACUAGUCCAAAAUGUUAUCCCUUUUCCACUUGAAAACACCACAAAGUCAGCCUCCCAAAAGGCCAUGAAAAUCAGCCUUAAACUCACUUGGAAACUUCAUUGAAACUAGCAACAAAGAGAUCUAUUUCCUCCACCAAAACAACUACUCAAACUGCCAUGAAAAUACCUCUGUCCCAUCAAAGAACGCAGCCAGCAAAGCUAAAGAAAAACAACUGAAAUCAACCACAAAAACGACCCCGAAACAGCUCGAAAACCCAGCUCUUUUCCCCGUGAAACAGUCCAAAACUCAGCUGAAAAAACGUAGCAAAGUAAUCAUGAAAACUGAGCUAAAAAACCAGCCAAAAAUCACCUCAAAACUGCUGAAAAACAGUCCCAAAACCACCCCUAUUUUAAUUCUUUUGCUCUUGUUCAUUUGAAUAGUUCUAGGUAUGGUUUAGCCAUUUAUUAACAUUUAUUAUUUUGUGUUUUGUUAGUUUUGUUAUUCUGUUUGGAUGUGAAGAUGUCGGAAAGUUGGCAUGAAUUUGACAAGUUGGUUGUGAUGAUUAUUUUUAAAUUUGAGGUACUUUUACUAAUUAAUGAGUUAUUUAGUUAGUAUUUAAGCUUGUUUGGCCAUUUGAUUGUCUUAGAAAACCAGAAGAUUAGAUUAAGCUUAAAAAGUAUUAUUGUAUUUUAGUUUGGACCAAUUUGAUUAAAUGAAUGGUUGGGUAAAAUAAAUGUUAUGCCAUGCCAAAUAAAACCUCUAAGUCCAUGGCCCUCGCAAAGUUGAAAAUGCGUAGCUGCUUUAGGCGCGUAAUUUAAAAUUACUUUCCUAAACUCGGGUGUGCAUUUCAUGUGACCCAAAUCCAAAUCUUAGCAAUGUUAAAUAAAAUGUGUCUCGGACUGCGGGUACAUUUCAUGUGGCGUGGUCCAAGGACGUGGUUUAGAUGACAUUGAAAUCUUCCUUAAAACAAUUAAAAGUGGUUUAAAGCUAAAAUGCACAUAGGUCUAAAAGUGUUUUUUAAAAUCAAAUAAUUGAGCCAAAAAUAACAGUUGAGCGACCGUGCUAGAACCACGGAACUCGGGAAUGCCUAACACCUUCUCCCAGGUUAACAGAAUUCCUUACCCAGAUUUCUGUGCUCGCAGACUAUAAAACAGAGUCAAUCAUUUCCUAUAUUCGGGAUUCUAAACCGGUGACUUAGGACACCAUAAAUUAUCCCAAGUGGCGACUCUGAAUCUGAUAAAUAAAUAAUCCCGUUUCGAUUGUCACUUUAAAUUGGAAAAAACUCCCUUAUAUACUCCCUUCCGAGAUAUAGGGUAAAAAGGAGGUGUGACAAGUGUAAACACUUAACUAUCCCUCGCCGUGGGUGGUGAUAUCUUCAUCGGGCCUGGGAACCACCACGCGCUUGAAAGGAGGAAGGUUUGUCAACCUUAAAAUUGGCAAUUACCGAGCACCCACCAGGGAUGAACGUGUUCAAAAUGGGUUCCUCGACAAUAGAACAUGGAACGGUCUCCUCGACAACCGAAAGCGAUGCAGAAGGAGUUUCUUUUUGGGGAAUGGUUUUUGAAGUCUUCGCCAUUUUUCUUAAAUGGAGGGGAAAGAAGAAGAGGAAGUUAGAGCAUCACACUUGAUGAUUUGGGGGUGAAGACGAGCAAAAGUUCUCAUAAAGGAUUUCAAGAAAUCAAAGUAUAAGUGCUAUAAAGUAGAUAAAUUUCUAAGGAACAACAAUAGAGAUUAUGCAUGUAAAGUUUGAAUGAACAAAGAAGGGCGUACUUAUAGUUUUCAAAUGAAGGUUCGCAUCUAGUAGCCGACUGGUAACUGACAAUCAUUGAAUACCAUUAAGACUUGACUAACGCGUCAUUUUUUUUAUUUUGUCGUUUCUGUCACAGGAUAUCGAGGUGAGAAUCGGGAGCUCAUGUCGUUUCUUAUCGUCUACUCUCCAAAAAACAAGGGGACUAUCUGUGUACGUUAGAAAUCGAGCUCGUAUAUGAUAUGGUAGAUUGGGCUCGGAACAUGAGGUAUUGACUCACACCUUACUUGUCUUUACUUUCAUGUGUCAACUUGUCAGGCAUCCACAUGUCGUUCAUCAAUUUUACCCCAUACAGAUAGUCAGCCUACUUUUCGGUAAUAACACUUCGUGUUACCAGAAAGUAGAUAAGGAUUUUUUUCUUGAUGGAAAAGGUUUUGAAUAGUUUUUGACACUUGAAAGGACGUAUGUCUCCUCGUAUUUAAUGAGUCGAACACGUGUUAUACUAUGAUUUGGUAAAUAUUUUUGUCAGUUUUUAAGGUAACGAUGACCAUGAAUUCUACUUCCUAUAAACUUUUCCACUACUCAUCCUUUUUAUUUUUCACUUUUACAAACUUUUCUUCUUUGAAUCACCCUUAGAGUUUUUCUGUAAAUCUCUCUUUCUUAGUAAAAUUUUCUUAACCAAAUUCUCUAUCACCAUAUCUUUCACUUUUUCUGUCCCCAAAAACUCUGGCCUUCACAUCAGUGGUGGCCCUUCUAAAAAGAAUAAAAUCAAGGAAGCCGAUGCCGGUCCUCCUACUACCAACACAAUUAUCCCAUCCCAAUUAAAUUCUGAAACGGAUCUCCAAGUGCAAAAGAACCUAUCAACCCCAAGAAAUAGAAAUUAUCCUGAUAGUAGAUAUCCUUCUUAUAUUCGCCCUACUAGUAUUCCGAUUAUGAAAGCAGAUUUCGAUUGGAAAACAUUAAAAUCUUAGCCCCAAUAAAGUGGAAGGGGUUACCUUUAACAAACGGGGGUUCAUGUAUAUCUACACGUAUCCUUCCACUUUAAGAAUGUGCCAAAAAAUUAAUCUCAAUAUCUUAGAAUUUUGUCACAAGCCCAUCAAUUUGACGUAUGGUGGCUUGCCUCGGGGUAUUGUGCUCCCAAGACGGAGAAAGCCUCACUCUUGCCCAUUUUAUCAACCUCUACUCCCCAAAGAAUUUUAUCAACCUCUACUCCCCAAAGAAUUUUAUCAACCCUCACCCAUCCACCAAACCUUAUUUACUAGUGUUGAUGAUGAUAAUGAUUGUGGUUGGAUGGAACGGUUCAUUGUCAUUACUACUAGGGACAUCCUUCUAGCAACAACACCUUCUAUCCCAGAAUCUUGGAACUUUGCUCGUAAGUUUUGUAGAUAGGUUUUUUCUAUUGCAUUAAAGAAAAUUCCCUCCUUUACUAACUUUUAUUUCUCUUAUUUAAGCUACCCGUUGGGUUCCAUCAUCGGCUAAGAACCUGACUCAAUGGGUACAAAAUAUUCUAGAUGCCUCUACACCGGAUUCCCAUAAGGGGAAAGAAAUUUCUCCAAAAUUUAAUUGGAAGGCCAAGAAUCAUGAUAAGGAAAAGUUCCUUUUUCCCUUUCUAAUCUUCAACAUGAAUUUGAUGGCUCUUUACUAACUCCCUCCUUCGUAAUACACAGGUCUUACAACUGGGUCUUUUAUUUUCCUGUUCUUGAGGUUUCCCAUGACCCAAUGGUGGCCCAUCAACGGAUGUAAGAAUCCUUAAUCGGAAGAGGGCUCGUGAUGCUGCUUUUGCUUCCGAUAAAGGCCCAUCUUCCCUGAGUCCCCAGUCUAAGGAGAAAAAAUCAAAAUGAAAACGUACCCCCAAAGAUGAGACUUAGGAGAAGCCUUCAACAAAAUAAGUUUCAAUUGGACCAACCACAAUUAUCACGACCCAAUGCCCGUUUAGGUCGUGAUGGCACCCAACACUGUUGCUAGGCAAGCCAACAGUCAACAAACUAGUGAUUUCCCAUUUUUAUUAGUUUUUCAAGUAAAUAAAUUUCCUUAAUUUAAAAUAUUUAAUGAAUAAUAGAUUUAAAGUAAUCAAAAUGAAAGCAGCUAAAUGCAAUCAUAACCGUAGAAAUACAACCCAAAAUCAUAAAUCUACUAGCGUGUGCCAAGACCCGGUGUCACAUGUGUAUGAGCACUCUAGUAAAAUAUAUAAAAGAAUACUAGUCUACUGUCUAAAAUGAAAUAGACAGAAAAUAUAACAAAAGAAAGACUUCGGCUGCUGCAAAACGGCUCGGAAGGGCAGCUCACUGUAUAGUCUUGUACCAGAAGUCAAGUGUGUGCACCAGACUGAUAACCACAUGUAUGUGCCUCAGAUCCUGCACAUUUUAAGUGCAGAAGUGUAGCGUGAGUACAUAAACAACAUAUACCCAGUAAUUAUCCAGUCUAACCUCGAAGAAGUAGUGACGAGGAAUCAACUUUGACACUUACUAUGGGCUAACAAUGAUAUAUCGAAAUGAUAUACUAAGCAUUGGUUACAUGAAUAAUACUGAAACUCAAUAAUAGUAAAUAUUAAAUGCUCAUUUCAUAAAUAUUAAGUCCCAAGUUUAUUUUCAUCAUUUAACAGUUUGUAUCUCAAGGCAUUUAAGCAAUAUCAACCAUGAAUAGUUCCAAAGAUUUAUCAUGCGCAAAUUAUGCUGAGGUCGAACGACCCAAUCCAACAUAAUAUUUAAACUCUACACUGCCGAGGAUCGACUGGCACGAACCAUAGAUGCAUCUAUCCGCUAUUGAGGCAUUCGACCUACUCCAUAAAUGGAAAACGCUAUGAAGAAACACAAAUUUUCAACAACAGUCAAAAUUCCUCAUUUAUAAAUUCAAGUAUUUGAAAUUUAACCUUCUACAAUUCUUUUAUCAACUUCCAUAUGACUCAAAUAAUUAAGUUAUCAAGUAGGAGCAAACAUUACAAACAAUAGCAUGAUAUGGGUCCUAGACUACUAGGACAAUAACACAAUUAGUAGCUACGUACGGACUCUCGCCACCUCGUAUAUACGUAGCCCCCACAAAUUAGACACACAUAUUUAUUUAAUUCACCUAUGGGGUUAAUUCCCUCUUAAAAGGUUAGAAAAGAGACUUACCUCAUCUCAAGGCCUACUUUCCGGUCCAAAGUUGUGCUCAAACCCCCAAAUUUGGUGCCAAACGACCCAAAACUAGUCAAAUAUUAUAUAAAAUAAUCAAUUUAUGCUCAAAAGUUCAUAUCCCAACUAUUAAAGUGAUUAUCCAACUUUAAAUGUAGGAUUCCUAAAAUUUACCCCCAGGCCAACGUGCCCGGAUUCGGAAAUUUUUUGAAGAAAGUUGUUACUCAUAACCCCAUGAACUCAAAUAUAUGAUUUUUACUAAAUUCCAUAACUAAUUUCGUGGUCAAAACUCAUUUUUAUCAAAAACCUAGAGUUUCAUCUAAACUCUUAAUUUUCACCAAUUUUUACAUGUUAAUCUACUCAUAAUCUAUGUAUUUAACUUAUGUUGUGUGGAAAUCACUUACCUCAAGGUGCUAGGUGAAACCCCCCUUCCAAGAGCUCCAAAAAUCGCCUAGGAGUUGAAAGAAAAUGAGCUAAAUGGUCUAAGUCUUGUAAUUAAUAAGUUGUGCACAGGCCUCAUAUGUGCGACAUCUGGUUCGCAAAUGCGACAAACCCAUCACAAAUGCGAACCUGGGCUUAGGUUGCCAUCGCAAAUGCGACCAAGGAGUCACAAAUGCAAACUCUGAUGAGAUCGCAAAUGCGACCAAUGUGUCCUAAAUGCAAACACUACCUAGGUCGGUCUUCUUUGCAAUUGUGAAGCCCUUCUCGCAAAUGCGAGGUUUGCAUUUGCGAGACCUGCAACUGCUGACAAGAAUCACCAGAAACUGAUGUGUUUUUCAUCCUUCCGAACGUCGAAACUCACCCGAGCCCUUGGGGCUCCACACCGAACACCCACACAAGUCUAACAACAUCAUACAAACUUGCUCGCACGAUCGGAACACUGAAAUAACAUCAAAAACCAUGAAUUGGUCGCCAAAAUGCAUGGUUUAGCUCAUGAACUCAAAACUUCUAUAAACACUUCCGCUCGUCCGAUUCCUAUCAAAUCAACUCGGAAUGAUGCCAAAUUUUGCGUGCAAGUCUUAAAUGACAUUACAGACCUACUCCAACUUUCGGAAGUAGAAUUCGAACCCGAUAUCAACAAGUCCACACUAGAUCAAACUUUCCAAAAACUUCAAAUUUCUAACUUUCCCCAAUUGACCUCGAGAUGACCUACAGACCUCCGAAUCCACUUCCGGACGCGCUCCAAAGUCCAGAACCACCAUAAGAAGCUAUUCCUAGGCUCGAAAUCCCAAACGCAUGUCUAGAAUGUAAAAAUCUACUUCAACCCAAACUUAUGAAAUUUACUCAAAUGGCAACUUUCACUAUUAGGUGCAAAAACGCUCUUGGGUCGUCCAAAACCCGAUCAGAACAUACGUCCAAGUCUGAAAUAAACAUAUGAACCUAUUGGAACCGUCAAAUCUUAAUUCCGAGGUCGUUUACUCAAAAUGUUGAUCGAAGCCAAACUUAGCCUUUUAAGCCAACUUUAAGGAAUCAAGUGUUCCGAUUUUAACCCGAACCUUUCCAAAUCCCGAACUAACCAUCCCCGCAAGUCAUAAAACAGUAAAAGCAUAUACGAAAAGUCUUAUUUAGGUGAAUGAGGUUCUAGAAAGCAAAACAACCGGUGGGGUAGUUACAUUCUCUACCUCUUAAACAAACGUUCGUCCUAGAAAGGGUUUAGAAUCAUACCCGGAGUGUUGAAUAAGUGUGGAUAUCUGUUCCGCAUGUCCUCCUCGGACUCCUAGGUCUCCUCCUCGACUGGUUGGCCCCUCCACUGAACCUUUACCGUGGAAAUCCUCUUGGAUCUCAACUUGCGAUCCUGUCUAGCAACAAUAGCAACUGGCUCCUCCUCAUAACCUAGGCUCUCAUCUAAAUAAAUCAUGCUGAAGUCUAAAACAUGUGACAAAUCGGUGUGAUACCUCUGGAGCAUAGACACGUGGAACACCGAAUGAACUCUCAAUAGGCUGAGAGGUAAAGCAAGCUCAUAAGCAACCUCCCCAACUCGUUUCAACACCUUAAAUGGUCCUAUAAACUUUGGGCUCAACUUGUCCUUCUUUCUGAAUCUCAUAAUACCCUUCAUCGGCAAGACUUUCAAGAGAACCUUAUCUCCUACCAUAAACGAUAAAUCGUGUGCCUUUUGAUCCGCGUAACUCUUCUGUCUGGACUGUGUUGUGCGAAGCCGCUCCUGAAUCAACCUUACCUUCUCCAAGGAAUCCUUUACCAAAUCACUACCGUAAAACUUAGCCUCGUCGAGCUCAAACCACCCAAUGGGAGAACAACAUCGCAGACCAUAUAGAGCCUCAAAUGGAGCCAUCUCGAUGCUCGGCUGAUAAAUAUUGUUGUAAGCAAACUCGGCCAGAGGUAAGAUCGAUCCCACUGUCCUCCUAAGUUAAUCACACAUGCUUUGAGAAUGUACUCUAAGAUCUAAACUGUCUGCUCCAACUGCUCGUCGGUCUAUGGAUGAAAUGCAGUGCUGAGCUCUAUACGGGUCCCCAACUCACUCUCUACAGCUCUCCAGAAAUGCAAAGUGAACUGAUGGCCACUAUCUGAUAUGAUGGAAACAGACACACCAUUCAACCGGAGUAUCUCCUGAAUAUAAAUCUGGGCCAACCUCUCUAAAGUAUACGUAGUCACAACUGGAAUGAAGUGUGCCGAAUUGGUCAACCUGUCAACAAUGACCCAAACUGAAUCAAACUUCCGCAAGGUAUAGUCAUCUGCUGGAAUAGGCCACCUGGACUCUGGUGCUCAUACUUAACCUGCUGGAAAUUUAGGCACCUAGCUAGAUACUCAACUAUAUCUUUCUUCAUCCGCCACCACCAGAAAUGUUGUCUCAGGUCACGAUACAUCUUCGUAGAACCUGGAUAAAUGGAAUACCGAGAACUGUGUGCCUCAUGUAGAAUCCUCCCUCUCAAGACAUCGACAUUAGGAACACAUAGACAACCCUGGUGUCGUAGAACACCAUCCUCGACGAUAGAACCUCCUUGGUACCACCCUGUAGUACCGUCUCUAUGGAACCAUCAAAUACAGAUCAUCAAACUGUCGAGCCUUGAUCUGCUCUAAUAGUGAAGACUGGGCAACGACUUAUGCAAGAACUCGGAUGGGCUCUGAAAUGUCCAACCUCAUAAGUUUGUUAGCCAAAGACUGAAUGUCCAAAGCUAAUGGCCUCUCCUCUGCUGAAAUGAAUGCCAAGCAACCCAUACUCUCUGAUUUUCUGCUCAAGGCAUCCACUACUACAUUGGCCUUGCCCGGAUGAUAAAGAAUGGUGAUGUUAUAAUCCUUUGGUAACUCAAGCCAUCUGCGCUACCUCAAGUUGAGAUCCCUUUGCUUGAACAAAUGCUGCAAGCUACGAUAAUCAGCGUAAACCACAUAGGAAACCCCAUAAAGAUAAUGCCUCCAAAUCUUAAGAGCCUGAAUAAUCGCGGCUAACUCUAAAUCGUGCACAAGGUAAUUUUUCUCAUGAAUCUUCAGCUAAUGUGAAUCAUAUGCAAUGACUCGCCCCUCCUGCAUCAAUACAUAACCCAAGUCAAUUCAUGAAGCAUCACAAUACACUUUAUACAUCCCCAAAUCGGAAGGCAACACUAGAACCGAUGAUGUAGUCAAAACUGUCUUGAGCUUCUAAAAGCUCAUCUCACAAUCGUGGGACCAACAAUAUAGAGCACCCUUCUGGGUCAAUCUGGUCAAAGGUGCUGUAAUGGAUGAGAAGCCCUCCACAAAUCGGCGAUAAUAACCUGCUAACCCCAAGAAAUUCCUGAUCUCAGUCGCCGAAGUGGGACGAGGCCAGCUCUGAACUACCUCAAUCUUCUUGGGAUCCACCUUAAUACCCUCGCCUGAUACAACAUGCCCCAAGAAUGCUACAGAAUCUAACCAAAACUCACACUUGGAGAACUUAGCAUAUAGCUUCUGUUCCGGCAAUGUUUGAAGAACCACUCUCAAAUGUUGCUCGUGCUCCUCCAUGCUGCAUGAGUAACCCAAAAUGUCAUCAAUGAAGACAAUGACAAACGAAUCAAUAUAAGGCCUGAACACUGUUGAUACCCAAUUUUUCCCUCAUAUAUUUUCAACAUGCAUAUAUAUUUUCAAAAAUAGUGCACAUGCAUUUACAAACAUGCACAAGUAUGUCUAUAAUUUUUUCUAUAAUUUUAAAGGCUUUCAACCAAUUUAUUUCUGUAUUUUUACUAUACAAAUAUCCAAUAGUUAUCCCUCAUAGUAUUUUUAUGAUGAUUUAAUCAUCUAGAUUCAUCAUUUAUGCCCAAAUAGUGCUUAAAUAUUUAAAUUACAUUUUUUAUAAUUACAUUUGCAUUUUUAAGCUAGAAUUGCACAUUUUGCAACAAUAGCCCAUGCAUAUGCAUAAUUAUAUUAUCUAUACAGAAAAUGAAUUUGUAUUUUUUAUAAUAUUAAUAAUUAUUUAGAAUCAUUUUAUUCAUAAAAAUCAUUUUUAUCAUUUAUUAACUAUUUUUACAAAUUAUUUUAUCAAUUAAUUGGGUAUUUAACAAAUAGCCUCUUUUAAUUUGGUUUAAUUUUGGACCUUAGCCCAAAUUGUUACCCCCAACCCAAUUAAAAUCAUAGCCCAAUACCCUGACCCAAUUUUUAAACCUGCUCAACCCCUCAGAUCAAAUCCUGGCCGUUGAUCUCAAAAGAUCAACAGUCCAAGAUCAUUUUUCUAUUUUAAUUAACCCCUAACAUCCUAACCCUAAUCAUUUUCUUCCGCUCUGCCGCGCUUGAAUCCCUCCUCCUCUCUUCUUUCUCAAACUCUCCCCUAACCCUAGCCCGUCGUCACUGGAAGCCCUUCAAUUCAUGGGGUUUUCCUUUGAUUUUAGGCCCCAUCCGGCCUCCUAUCUCUACUGGCUAUUCGAUUUCUUUGUUGUUUGAUGGAAUAUCAAAGAGAUUCAACACAGAUUUGGCUUCAAAUCUUCAUUUUCUUGGCGAACCUACCUGUGUUCAUCUCUAUGUUUGUGAGUGUUGUUAUCUUCAUGUUUAUGGAUUAAACCUCUAGUUCCAAAUUGGAUUUUUCUCACCUCAGUCCAUUUUUUAAAACCAUAGUUUCUUUCUACUCGAGUCUGUUAAGAUCUUUGUACAUCUGAGAUGAUUAUAAGUUUAUCUGAUAUUUCUCUUUAAAAAUCUUCUGUUUUUCCUUAUUAUUAACCGAUUUUAGUGUUCCUCUAAAAUUAUGGUUUCAUCUCUUUACGUUUCUGCAAAAGUUCUAAAAUUUUUAAGUGUUUAACUAUGGUUCUCUUUACUUGUUCGACUGAUUUUUAUGUCUAUAUUCUAAUCCCUAAGUUUUUUUUUUAAAAUUAUUUCACUGUUUGUUUUGAUAUUUGCCCGUUAUUCCUUGGCCCUAUCAAUUAACAGAGAUUAACUGAUUCUUAUUUGCCUAAUUAGGGUUCGAAAUAAUAUUUUUCUGUUAAAAUUGGUAUUUCUCUGCGAUUUUACUUAUUCUUUCCUUAUUUGUGACUAAUAAAUGAUACUACUUGCCUUAAUUAUGUUACUAGCCUAAUUUAUGGGAUUUGAUUGUUUUAACCGACCCCUAGAUGGUGUCUGAUUUAUUUUUCUACCUUAUUAAACCUCUAACUUGGCUGUUAAUUGAUUCUCCCUAAUUUAAGGAUAUUUUUCGGAUUUUGUUAUAUUAAUUAAUUGAGUUUAACCUUAAAAACUGGUUAAUUUGAUUUGCAUACCUUUUUUGUGAACUCUUAAUUUUCUUUGCCUUAUUUUUUUUACUCUGCCGAAUGCUAUAUAAACCGCCCUAUUCUGAUUUUUAAAACAGACGAACACAUAUGGAAAAUUAUAGAAACACCUACACACAUAAACUCUUACUCUUACUCACACACUCACACCCGUAGUUCUUUCUGUUACUUCUAUUUGCUAUACUCUCUAGUCGGCUGAAAGCCAAGGCUAAACUCUUGGAUUCUACUUGCCUUCACCUUCCCGUUUGGUAUCUCCUUAAGCGGUAUGCCUCCAUUUCUAUUAUCAUUCUAUAUUCUAUAUAGUUAAACUUCAACAUGCUUCUGUUUGCCCCCAUCUUUUCCUGUUUAUUGCUCUCUUAACCAGUAUGACCUAUUUCUUGUUAACUUGUCUUGUCUUACAUGUUAGUAUGGCUAGUAUACUUGAGCAUAUUCCUAUUUUAUCCAUGACACUUGUUUACCUGUUUCUCCACUAGCAUGCCCCAAUUCCUGUCUUGUUUUUAUGGGCUGGUAAUUUACCAUAGCAUGUUCCUGAUCAAUUCAUGGUUUCUGUGUACUUCUUUCAAGAAUAAUGUGCUUUAAAUUCCUGCUACCUUUUCUGUAUGGCUGUCUGAUUAGUCAUUUGACUUCAACAUGUUUCUCUUUACUAAAUACAUGUCUAUAUGAUUCCACCUAGUAAUAGUUAAUAGACUAAGUCAACUUUGGCAAUGUGAAACCUUGUUUGACUCAAUUGUGACUAUGUUCUGUCUAUGAUUUCAAUGUUCCUAUUUUGUUGUGACUGUUUAACUACUGGUAACUAUAUCUGAAUCAAUCUGCUGAAAUAUGGUUCUGUUCUGUUUGCAACUUGUUUCUAUUCACUUCUGAAAAUAAACUAUUUUUUCAUAAAACUAUCCCCUACCUUUGUAUACUAUUUUCAAAAUCUUACUCUUAGCUAUCUAGGGUCCUGCCACCCCUAGUGUGAGCACUGCCUAGGGUCAAUGAGACUCCUCCGAACUCUGACACACUAGGGCUGGCCUUCCAAACUCUUUACAAAACUGUUUCUUUGAAAAGGUUAUGGUGUGAGCAUUGCCCGGGGACCCUGAGGCCCUUGUGAACUUUGACACACCAGAAGCCCAUUUUGUGUAUUGUGGACUACCUGUGGACAUCAGACUUGCUUGCUUGAAGGCCUGAUUUCCAGGUUGACAUUGGGCCUGCCAAGACUCUCUAUAGUAUAAUGAUUUGUCAUUAUAUUGGUCUGUAAUAAUGAAAUAAUCCUUGUAAAAACAGAUAUGGGGUUAUGAGUAAAAGCAAGGGAGGAAUCUUUAUAUAUACCUUUUAUCAAAUUCGGGUAGAAAUCAUGCAUAUAGGUUGCUGUUGUGAUUCUUUAUGUGUAUGUCAUUAGAAGCCAUGCCUAUAGUACGUAUCUCAUUACUUGUAAUCCUGAUUUUUCACACUUUGCAUCCUAGAAAUCCUACUUCUAGGUCAUUUAUCAAUUCUGCAUCAAAGAACCAUAUUUCCAAAAUCUCUUUGUGUGCAUUAGAGAUCAUGUUUCUAGGAUAUUCUUUAUUGAACUGGCUUGGCAACUUGUUAACGCCUUUACUCACCUAGAUAUCAUGCCUAUAGGGAAUGUAUAAAAUCAGUCUUAAUACUUAGAUAUCAUGCCUAUAGGGAAUAAUGUUUGUAACCCAUUUCAGCACUUAGAAAGCAUGCCUAUAGGAUUUAAAGAUAAAAUCUGCCUGUUAAAAUUAGUAACUGGUUUACAGCUUAGAUACCAUGUCUAUAAGGUUCUGCCCGACUAUCACUUAGGCAAGCCUGUAGAUUAAUUAACAUUCUGGGUCUAAAAACUAUGAUUGCUUAUUUGACAUAUGCUCGGAUUCAGAGUAUUGACAAAAUUAGUAGGCAAACUGAUAGGUACUCGUCUGCUCGCUUUAAUAAAACUAUUGUAUAUUCCAUUUGUGCUCAUUUAGAUAUCCUACCUAUAGGAUUCUAUAAUCAUUUAAAAUGCUUGUUUGAAUAGCGUGCAUUUGUUUGUCUAUUUGUGGAGGUUAACAUGAGCCCACUUAAUUGCUUCUUAUGUGACAGUCCUACUUGAUUUUGUUUGUCGCUUAGUUUUCUCCUUUUAAAACAACAUAGGUGAGUAUAGAACUGCCUUAAAUAGAGGUCCUAAACACCUCUAGGGCCAGAGGUAAGGGACGGGGUAGUGCACACAUAAGGUACAUACUGGAUGUUAUUAGAACGCUUAGUUAAUGAUUGAAAAGGGGAGGGUAAUUAGGUAGUAAAGGAGAUGAUGACAUGUGCGCUAAUGCUAAGCGUAACACCUCAAUUUGGGGAAGGUUACCGAGUAUUGCAUGGAAGUAAUCCUAUAGGCUAAUAAACUUAGCACACCUCUAUUUUCCGUUUUAAAAUAAUCUCUAUUUGUUUAAACUACUUUAUUUCCUUAAAGACUAAUUUGCUUAAAUUGAGUUUGGCCGGGACUCAUCGUUGUGGACCUCGAGGGGUGCCUAACACCUUCCCCUCAAUGUAAUUUCCAUCCCUUACCCAAUCUCUGGCGAUGUGAACUAGUACAUGCGUUAUUUGCUCUAGUUGCCCUAACGCACCUUAAUCCGUUAGGUGGCGACUCUUCAAAUCUCAUACCCAAUUCCCAAAAGGAAAGGAGUUGUCCCAAAAUGUCAAACCCCGAAUUACGCAAGGAAAAUGGGGGUGCAACAAACACCCUGUUCAUCAAAUCUAUAAAUGCAGCUGGGGCAUUAGUUAAGCCGAAGGACAUCACUAGAAACUCAUAAUGGCCAUAUCUGGUACGAAAAGCAGUCUUCAGAACAUCCACAUCCCGAAUCUUCAACUGAUCGUACCCCGACAUCAUGUCGAUCUUAGAGAACACCUUAGCACCCUGCAACUGGUCAAACAAAUCAACAAUACGAGGCAACAUGUACUUGUUCUUAAUGGUAACAUUGUUCAACUGGUGGUAAUCAAUGCACAUCUGCAUGGUCCCAUCUUUCUUCUUCACAAAUAACAUUGGUGCACCCCAAGGUGACACACUUGGCAUGACGAACCCUUUUGCUAGCAACUCCUCAAGCUAGUCCUUCAACUUUUUCUGAACCAUACGAUAUGGUGGGAUAGAUAUAGGCUGAGUACCUAGAGCCAAGUGAAUACAAAAAUCAAUAUUUCGAUAUGGUAGCAUGCUUGGAAGGUCAGAAGGAAAUAUAGGGUGAACUCCCGAACUACUGGCACUGAAUCAAUUGUCGGAGUCUCCGCGGUAGUAUCCCGAACAUAAGCUAGAUAAGCCAAACAACCCUUCUCGGCCAUGUGUUGAGCCUUCUGAAAAGAGAUGGCCCGACUAGAUGUACUGACAGAUGAACCUUUCCACUCCAAUCUCGGCAACUAUAGCAUUGCUAAAGUAACAGUCUUGGCAUGGCAAUCAAGGAUGGCAAGAUAUGGGGAUAGCCAGUCCAUGCCCAGUAUUACCUCAAAGUCGAUCAUAUCAAGUAAUAGAAGGUCCGCUCUAGUCUCGUAACCACAUAAUGUAACCACAUAGGACCGAUAGAUUCGAUCCAUGAUGAAAGAAUCGCCCACAGGAGUGGGUAUAUAAACAGGAGUACCCAAAGACUCACGAGGAAUGUCCAGGAAAUGAACAAACAAAGAUGACACAUAGGAAUAGGUGGACCCUAGAUAAAAUAAUACUGAAGCAUCCCUACCGCAAACAGAAAUAAUAACUGUGAGUAUAGCAUCUGAGGCCACUGCAUCUGGUCUGGCCAAAAAGGAAUAGAACCUGGCUGGAGCGCCGGCUGGCACCCUCUGCUUGACUGAAUGGUAUCUGGCUCACCUCCCCCUGCCUAGCCUCCACAUCUAGAAUGGCCCCUACCCACCUUCCAUCCGUCUCUGGGUGGCCGGAAAGCUGGUGCUGGAAUCAUAGGCUACUGGCCCUGCUACACUACCUUGCCCCGAAGCCUAGUGUAGAAUCUCCGCACAUGAAUAAGAUCUCCACACUAGAAACAACCCAUUAGCGUAGUGAUCUGCUGCCCUGAGGUCUGACCCUGAUAGUGUAAAUACCCACUGGAAAAACUCUGAAUAGCUGGUGGGCGGUAUGAACUCUCUAGCAUGGCAUUGAAGUAAGCACUGGAAGAACCCUGAUGACCUGAGUACCCACUAGAAGAACCCUGAAUAGCUUGUUGGCGGUAAGAACUCUCUGGCAUGGCGCUGAAAUAGGGUCACGCCGGAGCACCCCGAGGAGGUGGUAGUGUUGGAUAUGUGGGCCAGCUAGGCUUACCGCUCCCAAACUGACCUCUGCCCCCAGCCAGGGCACCUCUAAACUCUCUAGAAAAAUGGGACCUCUUGUCCCACUGCAUCUUCUCUCUACCCCUUUGACUGUAGCCCUCAAUCUUCCGAGCUAUCUCUACUAUUAGCUGAUAAGAAGUACCCAUCUCAACCUCCCAUGCCAUAGUAUCCUGAAUACCUAAGUGCAACCCCGCAGCAAACCUCCGCACUCGCUCCACCUCAGUAGGAAGUAUCAUAAGUGCAUGGCGAGACAACUCAGAGAAUCUCACCUCAUAAUCGGUCACAGACAGCUGACCCUGCUGGAGCUUCUCAAAUUGAUACUGCAACUCUUCCCUCUGAGAGGGUGGAAUAUACUUGCCCAAGAAAAGGCGUGUAAACUGGUCCCAAGUCAUGGGAGGAGAACCCACUGGCCUAAAGAUAAGACUGCCGCCACCUAUGGGCCCUGCCCUCUAACUGGAAAGUAGUGAAGUCCACCUUUUGGGACUCCAAUAUCCUCAUGUUGUGCAGUCUGUCCCCGCACCGAUCAAUGAAGUAUUGGGGAUCCUCAUGUCGCUCACCCCCGAAGAUAGGAGGGUGUAGACUACUCCAUCUAUCCAAUAGCUUUUGUGGCUCGACGGCCACAGCUGCUGCAACUGGCUGGGAUCAGCCUACAGGUAGUGCACUCGGGGUCUGAUAUAUGGAAUCUACAUGUCCUAGAGCAUGGGCAGUAGGGGUAUGUUCUCCCCCUCCUGCCUGAGACAUGGCUGGGUCCGCUGGAAAUAAACCACCUUGAGUCAUAGUAUCCAUGAACCGCAGCAUACGGCCCAUGACCUCCUGAAAGCCCGAUGCUGACAUGAAAUCUACCGAGGCUGGCUUUGUUGCGAGCACCUCGCCCUGCUCCUCAAUGAAGGGAUCCUCCACUAGAUCUGCUGGUGGUGUAGCUAGGCAGCUUUGGGACAUCCUCGUCCCCUAUCUCGGGCUAGUGCCCUCCCCCGACCUCUGCCUCGGCCUCUAGCAAUGAGGGGCAGCUCCUCCCGGGUCUGGAACAUCUUCCAUGUGUGUUCUCACCAUCUGUGAGAAAAUGAGAGAAAGAACAUAAUAUACCAUCAAUUGCACGAUCAGAUAUAAAUAAAGAGUAGUUUUCUAACACCCUAUAGCCUCUCGAUGAUAAGUACGGACGUCUCCGCCCUGAUCUGCAAGACUCUAUUAGGUCUGCCCAUAACUUGCGAGACCUACGUGAACCUAGUUCUCUGAUAGCAUGUUGUCACGACCUAAUUCUCGGUUAGGCCGUUAUGCUUCCAGUACCGUUGCUAGGCAAGACAACAGUGUAUAAUCUAGUGAUUUUCCAUUUUUAUAAGUUUUUCAAUUAAAUAACUCUCCUUAAUUUAAAAUAUUUAAUGAAUAAUGGAUUUAAAGUAAUCAAAACAAAAGCAGAUAAAUGCAAUUAUAAUCGUAGAAAUACAACCCAAAAUCAUAAGUCUACUAGUGUGUGUCAAGACCUAGUAUCACAAGUGCAUGUGCACUCUAGUAAAAGAAUACAAAAGAAUACAAAAAAAUACUAGUCUAUUGUCUAAAAUGAAAUAAACAGAAAAAUAUAACAAAAGGAAGACUUCGGGUGCUAUAGAAUGGCUCGGAAGGGCAGCUCACCGUAUAGUCUCGUACCAGAAGUCAAAAGUGCGCACCAAACUAAUAACCAGAUGAAUCUACCUCAGAUUCUGUACAUUUAAGUGUAGAAGUGUAGUGUGAGUACAUAAACAAUAUAUACCUAGUAUGUAUCCAGUCUAACCUCUAAGAAGUAGUGACGAGGGGUCGACUUUGACAUUUACUAUGGGCUAACAAUGAUAUAUCAAAAUUAUAUACUAAGUAUGGUUACAUGAAUAAUACUGAAACUCAAUAAUAGGAAAUAGUAAAUACUCAUAUCACAAAUAUUAAGUCCCAAGUUUAUUUUCAUCAUUUAACAAUUUGGAUCUCAAGGCAUUUAAGUUAUAUCAAUCAUGAAUAGUUCCAAAUAUUUAUCAUGUGCAAAUUAUGCCAUGGUCAAACGGCCCGAUCCAACAUAAUAUUUAAACUCUGCAGUGUCGAGGGUCGACUGGCACGAACGAUAGAUGCAUCUAUCCUCUAUCGAGGCGUUCGACCUACUCCAUAAAUAGAAAACGCUAUGAAGAAACACAAAUUUUAAACAAUAGUCAAAAUGCCUCAUUUACAAAUUCAAAUAUGUGAAAUUUAACCUUUUACAAUUCUUUUAUCAACUUCCAUAUGACUCAAAUAAUUAAGUUAUCAAGUAGGAGCAAACAUUACAAACAUAGCAUGAUAUGGGUCCUAGACUACCUGGACAAUAACACAAUUAGUAGCUACGUAUGGACUAUCGCCACCUCAUAAGUACGUAGCCCCCACAAAUUAGACACACAUAUUUAUUUAAUUCACCUAUAGAGUUAAUACCCCCUUACAAGGUUAGAAAAGAGACUUACCUCGUCUCAAGGCCUACUUUCCGGUCCAAAGUUGUGCUCAAACCCCCAAAAUUUGGUGCCAAACCACUCGAAACUAGUCAAAUAUUAUAUAAAAUAAUCAUUUUAUGCUCGAAAGUUCGUAUCCCAACUAUUAAAGUGAUUACCCAACUCUAAAUGUAAGAUUCCUAAAAUUCACCCUUGGGUCCACUUUCGCGGAUUCCGGUAAUAUUCGAAGAAAAAUUGUUACCCAUAACCCCAUGAACUCAAANNNNNNNNNNNNNNNNNNNNNNNNNNNNNNNNNNNNNNNNNNNNNNNNNNNNNNNNNNNNNNNNNNNNNNNNNNNNNNNNNNNNNNNNNNNNNNNNNNNNNNNNNNNNNNNNNNNNNNNNNNNNNNNNNNNNNNNNNNNNNNNNNNNNNNNNNNNNNNNNNNNNNNNNNNNNNNNNNNNNNNNNNNNNNNNNNNNNNNNNNNNNNNNNNNNNNNNNNNNNNNNNNNNNNNNNNNNNNNNNNNNNNNNNNNNNNNNNNNNNNNNNNNNNNNNNNNNNNNNNNNNNNNNNNNNNNNNNNNNNNNNNNNNNNNNNNNNNNNNNNNNNNNNNNNNNNNNNNNNNNNNNNNNNNNNNNNNNNNNNNNNNNNNNNNNNNNNNNNNNNNNNNNNNCCUCAAGGUACUAGGUGAAAUCCCCCUUCCAAAAGCUUCAAAAAAUUCCCAAGAGUUGAAAGAAAAUGAGCUAAAUGGUCUAAGUCUCGUAAUUAAUAAGCUGUGCCAAAGCCUCAGAUGUCGCAUUUGCGACAACUUGUUCGCAAAUGCAAACUUGGGCUUAGGCUGCCAAGGUCGCAAAUGUGACCAAGGAGUCGCAAAUGCGGACUCUGUUGAGAUCACAAAUGCGACCAAUGUCGCAAAUUUGAACACUUCCUCGGUCGGGAUUUUUCGCAAUUGUGAAGACCUUCUCGCAAAUGCGAGGUUCACAUUUUCGAAAAAAUUCUCGCAUUUGUGAGACCUGCAACUGCUGCUAUGAAACACCAGAAAAUGAAUGUGUUUUUCAUCCUUCAGAACGUCCGAAACUCACCCGAGCCCUCGGGGCUCCACAAAGAACACCCACACAAGUCUAACAACAUCAUACAAACUUGCUCGCACAAUCGGAACACUGAAAUAACAUAAAAAACCAUGAAUCGGAUGCCAAAAUGCAUGGUUUAACUCAACCCAAACUUAUGAAAUUCACUCAAAUGCCAACUUUCACUAUUAGGCGCUGAAACGCUCCCGGGCUAUCCAAAACCCAAUCCGAACAUACGCCCAAGUUCGAAAUUAACAUACUAACCUAUUGGAAUCGUCAAAUCCUGAUUUCAAGGUCGUUUACUCAAAAUUUUGACCGAAGUCAAACUUAGCCUUUUAAGAUAACCUUAAGGAACCAAGUGUACCGAUUUCAACCCAAACCCUUCCAAAUACCGAGCUAACCAUCCCAGUAAGUCUUUAAAUAGUAAAAGCACGUAUGAAAUGUCUUAUUCAAGGGAACGAGGUUCUAGAAAGCAAAAUGACCGGUCGGGUCGUUACAACAAUGGUCCUUGGUGAAUAUGAAAUCGAGAACGAUGAUGAAAUAGUCUAUAUAAAGGAGACAAAAAAUAUCUCUCUCUACUCAACCAGAAGCUCAAUCGAGAAAAAUUCAAGCACUCUUCACGGAUAUGGAGAUAGUUGAAAUGUUGUGUCUCGUUUCCGAGUUUCUAUUAUUGCUUCUAGGUAGAGGAGUUUUACCAUUGACGUUCCUCAAAAUUCAUCUUUUAGACCAGCCGCAACACCAUCAACUUCUACCUCCCCACCGGCCUCAACCAAACUAAUGGAAGAUGUUCGCUCCCCGUGGUCACUCUAUCAUGGGAAUAUAGAGAAUACUUUCUUGGCACCCAUCCGAAACCCCGAUGGUGAAUCUAGUGUCAUUCUUUCGGUUCGAAUGAGUGCCAUUUACUCUCCCAGACGGUGGGGUUGCAAACUACUUGAAGCCUCUGGCUUUGAGCAAAGAUUGGAGAAAAAUGGAUGCUCUUUCUACCGUGUGUCUGAUCAAUAGUAGCAUUCACCUUUCUACUCAGGUAUCAAUUUAAUCUUCUUUUCUUCCCUUUUCUCUUGUUAGACAUUGUCCUCAUAACUUUAAUCAUUAACCUUUUAGGCUAACCUCCUCUGCUACGAAAGCUUACAAAAGAUGAUCUUGGACAAAGAAGCACUUACUGCUGAACAAGAUCUGUUUGCUGCCGAACGAGAUCAACUCAUUGAGCACCUCCCGAUUUUAGAAGCAAAAAUUACUCAAAUAAGCAAGAUCAAAGCCUGAUUAGAGCAAUCUAGCAAGAGAAGAUGGUUCACAGUCGAGAGGUCGCUUAACUACACGAAAAUCUUAAGGAGUUGAAAGCCAAGUGGGCUGAGCUACAGGACAAUGUGACUGCGGCAGCGGAACGUGAGUCCACUUUCAAGGAACAAAUCAAUAAUCUGAAGCAACCUUGCAUUCCAAAAUCGAGGGGGCUACUGCUAUCGAGCAGUAGAGAGCUAGCAUGGAGGAAAGGUUCAAAAAUAUCAUAGACCAGAACCGUGAACACGCGAGGACAAAUACUGACCUUAGGCAAACUUAUGGCAUGGCGAAGGCUGAAACGGCCAACUCCAAAAUCAAGAAACUUCGAGCCAAACUCCAUGAAUAAGAAGACUCUUUCCACCUCGAGAAGACUUAUGUGAUUUAUCACAUGAGGAGGAAGACUUUGGAGGAGGCCAAAGAAAGUAUUGCAAAUAUAGAUGGUUGGAUUGCUGAAGCUCUCGAAUUGGAGACAACUACCUUCAAUAACAUUCCUUCUCGGCCUACUGCUUCAAGCUCCUCGAGCACAAGUUCUGAUAACUUAGAAACCGAAGAAGAAACUGAAGAAAAAGAUAAGGGUGAAGCUACUGAACAGGAUGCGGAACAACCUUUAUCUACAAAAGAUGUAGAAGAUAGUAACAAUGCCAAAACUUCAUCACGUUUGGCAUUUUGAAAAAUAAAAAAUAUCUUUUGCAUUUCUGUGCAAGACAUUUCUUUUUUAUUUGAUAAUAUUUGGGAAUUUGUUACAUCCAAUAACUUUAAUUACGGGUAGUCAUAGUUCCAGUGUCUACCCUUUGACUAUGAGGGUUUCAUAAGAGAGGGCCCUUAUAUUUACGGUGCUUUUGAAAAGGAUGCCUCUUAUUUAUUACGGCACAAGCAUUUGAAGUUUAACUAAGAUAAAAACAAAAGGAACUUGUUUUAUUCCUUCCAUUUAUAAAAGUACACCUACAUACACAUUUAUCUGCUUAAUAAAUAAAGCUAUCAAUACAUGUGGCUAACUUGUAAAACUUAUUUUAAUGGGUCUAAUCAUGCAGUCCCCUAUCACAACCAAACUCGCAUCGGAUCUGCGACGGUGCCUAAUACUACUUGCCAAGCAAGACGACAGUCACAUAAUAGCUUAACAUUUGCACAAAUAUUGUAUAAUAAACUCAACAACGAAAAUAUCAUGAAUAUCUGACACAAAUAACCGAAAUACUGCUAUAUCCACCACAAAAUCUGGUAUCAACGAGUACAUGAGCACUACUAAGUAUCAAAACAUAAACCCAAUCCUUAGUACAACUAUCUGGGUAAUAGACCAGUAUUGAAGAAAAUAAAGGAAAAGAAAGUCAAGGUCUACAGACGUCAUAGCAAUGUGAUUGUGUGAGGUAAAAGCACAAAGGUUGAUGUCGUGCCUAUUCUAUUGAUCUUUAUGGUGAAGAUGAGAGUAAAAGCACAAAGGGUGAUGUUGUGCACAUGUUAUUAAGUUCUUGAUUCCUGUUGAUAAUUGAAUUAUCGCUUUCUUUACGUUCCUCUAUUGGUUUUUUGUUGUUACCUGAUAUUCCCCGCAACAUGUUUUCCCCCUUCUAUAUUUAACUGUAACUUUCUGCCUUUAUUUUUCCGUUGUAUAUGAUUUAACUACACAGAUUUAUUUGGUAGUCCUGUCCUAGCCUCAUCACUAUUUUACCGAGGUUAGGCUAAGCACUUACCACCACAUGGGGUCAGUUGUGCUGAUACUACACUCUACACUGUGUGCAGAUCCCAGUGCUGCAGUUUUUAGACCACAGUGAGGUUGCUGCCUUCAGUCCAUCAGGAAACCCAAGGUAGUCAUGCAGGCGUCCGCAGGCCUUGGCGUCUCCUUCUAUCUUUCCAUUAUAUUUCUUUUAUGUAUUUUAAAGACAGUUUUGUAUUUAUCUUUCGUACCACUGUUUGUAAUAUUCGUAGAUAGUCCGUGACAUUGUGACACCAAAUUCUGGGUAGAGUUGUAUGUUGGAUUCUGCACUAGUAUAUGGUUAAACUAUUAGUUUUUGUCUUCUGUGUUUCUAUUUAUCAUAAUAUUUCCAUUUUUGAUCACC
Molecule: long non-coding RNA, 22639 nt
Filed under: Nicotiana tabacum (common tobacco)
Lineage: Eukaryota; Viridiplantae; Streptophyta; Magnoliopsida; Solanales; Solanaceae
Description: long non-coding RNA (NTAB_LNC003773)
Source: RNAcentral